UAGUAACGGCGAGUGAAGCGGGAUGAGCUCAAGCUUAAAAUCUCUGUCACAAAUUUAUUUUGUGCGGCGAAUUGUAGUCUAUAGAAGCGUGGUCAGUGUAGGCGCUUGGGUUAAGUUCCUUGAAAAAGGACAGCAUCGAGGGUGAUACUCCCGUUUGUACCUAAGUGUCUUAUGCGUACGACCCGUUUUCUUUGAGUCGCGUUGUUUGAGAAUGCAGCGCAAAGUAGGUGGUAAAUUCCAUCUAAAGCUAAAUAUUGGUGCGAGACCGAUAGCGAACAAGUACCGUGAGGGAAAGAUGAAAAGAACUUUGAAAAGAGAGUUAAAGAGUACCUGAAACUGCUGAAAGGGAACCGGAUCGUUUCUAGUGUCUAUAAUCCGUGACAUAUUUCAUUGGCGGGCGUGUGCGUAUGUGUACUAUGGCAGCGGCUAAUUGGCUGCGCUUGGUGUGCGUGCUGUGUGUGCUUACUGGUGCCCUGUGUUAUGGUGGGACGUCAAGGUCAGUUCGUAUGCUGCGGGAAAUGGCUGCUGAGGAGGUAGGGCUUACGCUUGCGUUUGUCUGUUAUAUCUUGGUGGUUUUGUCGUGGUUGGGACUGAGGUGUUCUACAACGUGCUCUUGAGUAGGUCUGCGUCUCCGUGUGCACCGUGUGCAGAUAGCUUGCUAUGUGUGUGUGGUUGUGUGUGGAUUGAUGCGGGCUUGAACUUGUWGCCGUUY
RNAcentral lists this ribosomal RNA (712 nucleotides) under Hyaloperonospora dentariae. Its description in RNAcentral is "LSU rRNA". It matches the Rfam family "Eukaryotic large subunit ribosomal RNA", at positions 81 to 630 of the family's 3401-position model. The record is from RNAcentral. Lineage: Eukaryota; Oomycota; Peronosporomycetes; Peronosporales; Peronosporaceae.